Molecule: ribosomal RNA, 924 nt
Filed under: uncultured bacterium
Lineage: Bacteria
Description: bacterial SSU rRNA
Rfam family: Bacterial small subunit ribosomal RNA
Source: RNAcentral
CGCCCGCCGCGCCCCGCGCCCGUCCCGCCGCUCACCCGCCCGAGCCCCCCCCAAGUUUUGGGGCUCAGAGUGAACGCUGGCGGUAGGCCUAACACAUGCUAAGUCGAACGGCAGCGCGGGGCAACCUGGCGGCGAGUGGCGAACGGGUGAGUAAUAUAUCGGAACGUACCCUGGAGUGGGGGAUAACGUAGCGAAAGUUACGCUAAUACCGCAUACGAUCUAAGGAUGAAAGCAGGGGACCGCAAGGCCUUGUGCUCCUGGAGCGGCCGAUAUCUGAUUAGCUAGUUGGUGGGGUAAAGGCCUACCAAGGCAUCGAUUCAGUAGCUGGUCUGAGAGGACGACCAGCCCACACUGGAACUGAGACCACGGUCCAGACUCCUACGGGAGGCAGCAGUGGGGAAUUUUGGACAAUGGGCGCAAGCCUGAUCCAGCAAUGCCGCGUGAGUGAAGAAGGCCUUCGGGUUGUAAAGCUCUUUUGUCAGGGAAGAAACGGGUGAAGCUAAUAUCUUUGCCUAAUGACGGUACCUGAAGAAUAAGCACCGGCUAACUACGUGCCAGCAGCCGCGGUAAUACGUAGGGUGCAAGCGUUAAUCGGAAUUACUGGGCGUAAAGCGUGCGCAGGCGGUUUUGUAAGUCUGUCGUGAAAUCCCCGGGCUCAACCUGGGAAUUGCGAUGGAGACUGCAAGGCUAGAAUCUGGGCAGAGGGGGGUAGAAUUCCACGUGUAGCAGUGAAAUGCGUAGAGAUGUGGAGGAACACCGAUGGCGAAGGCAGCCCCCUGGGUCAAGAUUGACGCUCAUGCACGAAAGCGUGGGGAGCAAACAGGAUUAGAUACCCUGGUAGUCCACGCCCUAAACGAUGUCUACUAGUUGUCGGGUCUUAAUUGACUUGGUCCAAUUACGCAGCUAACGCUGGGAUAGGCAAUU